AACAAUAAAUGUGAAAUAAAAGCAAACAGAGAACAAACAAAAGAAAAUUAAAAGCCUACCAAAAUCAAUUGGUGAGAAAGCAAACUAAACGCUAGAAGAACCAAGAAAAAACUCACAGCCUCUCCCUACUGAAAAUCACAACACUAAAGCCAGGAAAAUCUCCUAAUUUGGAUUAUAUGACAUUGAGCGAACACCAAAGGAGAAAAACAUAAUGCUAAGCAGGAUAAAAUCGAUAAACUCCUGCUUCCAAAAGCCAACCCGAGGACAGAUUAAUCCGGCGGAUCCACCCAUCAUAUGUUGGCAGCAACAACAACUUCGACCUCCACCAGAAUCUCCUCCACACAGAAAUGAUACAUCCCCAAAUUAAAACCUACGACAGCAAGAAGACCGGUCCUCAUGCGUGGAGCAAAUAUUCUUGAUUACAAUCAAAGUGUUGCCCUCAAACACCACGUACCUUAAGCCCAGAUCAUCGGCAAAAGAAACUGUUUGGAUAAACGCCUUUACUUCCGCAACAAAAGCAUUAGGCAAAGAAAUAUUUAGAGAUUGCCACACCGCAGCUACCAUUAUACAAUCGCGAACUACAUGGGUAAUAGUUUCUAGAAUUAUACUGCAUUUAGGACAAAACAUAGUAAAAGAAAUCCUUUUGUUGAAGAGAUUAGAAAGAGCAGGAAUAUAGUUUUGACAGAAUCUCCAGUUUGUAAUACGGGUUUUAAGAGGCAUUGUUGCUUUCCACAAUUUUGUAUAGAAACAUUAUUUGGGUUA
Molecule: long non-coding RNA, 762 nt
Organism: Gossypium raimondii (Peruvian cotton)
Lineage: Eukaryota; Viridiplantae; Streptophyta; Magnoliopsida; Malvales; Malvaceae
Exons: 3
Source: RefSeq, a predicted model, not a curated record